ACGGGUGAGUAACACGUGGGCAACCUGCCCUUGAGACUGGGAUAACUUCGGGAAACCGGAGCUAAUACCGGAUAAUAUAAGGAACCUCCUGGUUCCUUGUUGAAAGAUGGUUUCGGCUAUCACUUAAGGAUGGGCCCGCGGCGCAUUAGCUAGUUGGUGAGGUAACGGCUCACCAAGGCGACGAUGCGUAGCCGACCUGAGAGGGUGAUCGGCCACACUGGGACUGAGACACGGCCCAGACUCCUACGGGAGGCAGUAGUAGGGAAUCUUCCACAAUGGACGAAAGUCUGAUGGAGCAACGCCGCGUGAGUGAUGAAGGCCUUCGGGUCGUAAAGCUCUGUUGUUAGGGAAGAACAAGUGCGAGAGUAACUGCUCGUACCUUGACGGUACCUAACCAGAAAGCCACGGCUAACUACGUGCCAGCAGCCGCGGUAAUACGUAGGUGGCAAGCGUUAUCCGGAAUUAUUGGGCGUAAAGCGCGCGCAGGUGGUUUCUUAAGUCUGAUGUGAAAGCCCAUGGCUCAACCGUGGAGGGUCAUUGGAAACUGGGGAACUUGAGUGCAGAAGAGGAAAGUGGAAUUCCA
Molecule: ribosomal RNA, 583 nt
Filed under: uncultured bacterium
Lineage: Bacteria
Description: bacterial SSU rRNA
Rfam family: Bacterial small subunit ribosomal RNA
Source: RNAcentral